CCUACGGGGGGCAGCAGUGGGGAAUUGUUCGCAAUGGGCGCAAGCCUGACGACGCAACGCCGCGUGGAGGAUGAAGAUCUUCGGGUCGUAAACUCCUGUCGAGCGGGACGCGGUACCGCUAAAGGAAGCCCCGGCUAACUCCGUGCCAGCAGCCGCGGUAAUACGGGGGGGGCAAGCGUUGUUCGGAAUUACUGGGCGUAAAGGGCUCGUAGGCGGCCAACUAAGUCAGACGUGAAAUCCCCAGGCUCAACCUGGGAACUGCGUCUGAUACUGGAUGGCUUGAAUCCGGGAGAGGGAUGCAGAAUUCCAGGUGUAGCGGUGAAAUGCGUAGAUAUCUGGAGGAAUACCGGUGGCGAAGGCGGCAUCCUGGACCGGAUUGACGCUGAGGAGCGAAAGCUAGGGGAGCAAACGGGAUUAGAUACCCUUGUAGUC
This 432-nucleotide ribosomal RNA is filed under the name uncultured bacterium. RNAcentral describes it as "partial 16S ribosomal RNA". It matches the Rfam family "Bacterial small subunit ribosomal RNA", at positions 338 to 795 of the family's 1533-position model. The record is from RNAcentral.